RNAcentral lists this transfer RNA (60 nucleotides) under Stegodyphus mimosarum. It matches the Rfam family "tRNA", at positions 1 to 58 of the family's 71-position model. Rfam says of the family: Transfer RNA (tRNA) molecules are approximately 80 nucleotides in length. Their secondary structure includes four short double-helical elements and three loops (D, anti-codon, and T loops). The record is from Rfam by way of RNAcentral. Lineage: Eukaryota; Metazoa; Arthropoda; Arachnida; Araneae; Eresidae.
GGGCCAGUGGCGCAACGGAUAACGCGCCUGACUACGGAUCAGGAGAUUCCAGGUUCGAAU